This 444-nucleotide ribosomal RNA is filed under the name uncultured Hyphomicrobiales bacterium. RNAcentral's name for it is "bacterial SSU rRNA". It matches the Rfam family "Bacterial small subunit ribosomal RNA", at positions 337 to 798 of the family's 1533-position model. The record is from RNAcentral. Lineage: Bacteria; Pseudomonadati; Pseudomonadota; Alphaproteobacteria; Hyphomicrobiales.
UCCUACGGGGGGCUGCAGUGGGGAAUCUUGGACAAUGGGCGAAAGCCUGAUCCAGCCAUGCCGCGUGAGUGAAGAAGGCCCUAGGGUUGUAAAGCUCUUUCGGCGGGGACGAUAAUGACGGUACCCGCAGAAGAAGCCCCGGCUAACUCCGUGCCAGCAGCCGCGGUAAUACGGAGGGGGCUAGCGUUGUUCGGAAUUACUGGGCGUAAAGCGCACGUAGGCGGGUCGCUAAGUCGGGGGUGAAAUCCUGGGGCUCAACCUCAGAACUGCCUUCGAUACUGGCGACCUUGAGUACGGGAGAGGUGAGUGGAAUUCCCAGUGUAGAGGUGAAAUUCGUAGAUAUUGGGAAGAACACCAGUGGCGAAGGCGGCUCACUGGCCCGUAACUGACGCUGAGGUGCGAAAGCGUGGGGAGCAAACAGGAUUAGAUACCCCUGUAGUCAGU